Molecule: ribosomal RNA, 488 nt
Filed under: uncultured bacterium
Lineage: Bacteria
Description: partial 16S ribosomal RNA
Rfam family: Bacterial small subunit ribosomal RNA
Source: RNAcentral
GACGAACGCUGGCGGCGUGCUUAACACAUGCAAGUCGAACGAAAAUACCAAGCUUGCUUGGUUGUUUAGUGGCGAACGGGCGAGUAACACGUGAGUAACCUGCCCCUUACUUUCCUGGAUAACUGCUCGAAAGGGUAGCUAAUACGGGAUAUCCUGCCCAGCCUGCGUGGGUUGGUUUGGAAAGGUUGUCUUUCUGGUAAGGGUUGGGCUCUCGUCCUUUCGGCGUGUUGGUGGGUGGAUGGCCUACCAAGGCUUUGACGGGUAGCCGGCAGGAGAGGGUGCAAGGUCACAACGGAACUAAGGUCCGGCCCAGACUGCUAGGGGGGAGAGGAGUAGGGAAGAUUGCAGGAUGGGGGCAAGCCUGGUGAAACGGCGCCGGGUGAGGGAUGAUGGCGUUCGGGUUGUAAACCUCUUUGGUAAGAGAACAAGGCACUGCUUUUUUGGCGGUGUUGAGGGUACCUGAAUAAGAAGCGCCGGCUAACUACGUG